Homo sapiens (human) is the source of this 418-nucleotide long non-coding RNA. The record is from Ensembl. Lineage: Eukaryota; Metazoa; Chordata; Mammalia; Primates; Hominidae.
ACCUCAACUCUACCAACUGUGAAUUCUACAUUCAGCAAACUUAGUUUAAUCUGUGAAGACUAAGUCAUUCUCACAUUUCUGGGAAUUAAGGAAAUCUAAAAUUAAUGCAUCCAUCAUUCAAUUCUAUGAGCUCCCAGUUCGCCUCGUCGCCAUGCCUCGGAAAAUUGAGGAAAUCAAGGAUUUUCUGCUCACAGUCCGAUGAAAGGAUGCCAAAUCCGUCAAGAUCAAGAAAAAUAAGGACAAUGUGAAGUUUAAAGUUUGACACAGCAAAUACCUUUACACCCUGGUCAUCACUGACAAAGAGAAGGCAGAUAAACUGUAGUCCCUGCCCCCUGGUUUGGCAGUGAAGGAACUAAAAUGAACCAGACACACUGAUUUGUGCUGUAUUAAAAUACUAAAAAUCCUAAAAAAAAAAAAA